GAGUGUUAAAGAUGGAAGAAACCUAAGGCAUCCACUGAGGAAAGUUGCAGGCAAUAGAGAUAGAAAGACUCAAGAAUUGAAAAACUCUUGGAAGAGGAUACUCAAGCAAAGUCUGGACCGCCUUUCUGAAAUAGGGCUCACCUCGAAAGCAAAUGAAAACAACAGGAGCCCGGAAGAGAGUUUUCAUCUUCAGGAGUGAGAGACACUUAUGAAGCCCCAGAAGAUGUUGUUGAUGUCAGACAUUGAGUUCAAGGGGAAGCAGGAUGCCUGUUACAGAGAAGGUCACUAGAAUCUGGAGGGAACUGAAGACAGUAUUGCUGAGCUAUAAUAAAAGUAGAAAAUGAGAUUACCUUCCCAUUGAAGUGAAGAGUCAGACAAGAACAAUUCAAUAUGGGGAUAUAAAAAACUGGGAUUUUAUUUAACGUCUGCAAAGAGGGCAUCCAGAUGUAAAGAGAUAUUAACUAUUAAAAGAUGGGUUAAAAGCUAUUGAAGUCAUGAUGGUUCAUGCCUGUAAACACAGAAUUCAAGAAUGUGGGAAAAAGGACUUCAGAGGU
This is a long non-coding RNA of Peromyscus eremicus (cactus mouse), 554 nucleotides long. RefSeq lists it as uncharacterized. The record is from RefSeq and is a predicted model, not a curated record. The transcript is spliced from 3 exons. NCBI's taxonomy places the organism in Eukaryota, Metazoa, Chordata, Mammalia, Rodentia, Cricetidae.